This is a long non-coding RNA of Neocloeon triangulifer, 966 nucleotides long. RefSeq lists it as uncharacterized. NCBI's taxonomy places the organism in Eukaryota, Metazoa, Arthropoda, Insecta, Ephemeroptera, Baetidae. The record is from RefSeq and is a predicted model, not a curated record. The transcript is spliced from 3 exons.
CGUUGUUUUGAUUUGGUGUGGAUACCGGGUUUUGUGACUGAUCGGAAAGUUUUGCCGUUUUUUCCGGAAUAAUGGUCAAGAAAUGGUUAGAAAGUGAGGCCAAAGCGUCCUGGAUUGGCAAACGUUCAAAGUACGGUGGAAAUUCGGGUGAAUUGACUUUUAUAACGAGCUCGGGAGGAAUUCGACUUGCAGCCCGCGUCCGGUUACUUCGUGAACGACCCAAGCCAAGCUGCUGCUUUCGACGCCCAGACAGGGACUGGGCCCUGGAUUACAAAUCAACCUCCACUCCAAAUUAAUUUCAAAUCAGAUCCGAGUUCAGAGUCCUUCAACAACUCAAUUACAUCAAAGACGGACGGGAAUAUUGGAUGAUAAACUUGAUUCACAAGAAGCCUAAUGAGAGUACCGGAUUGCUCUGAUCGUUUUAAAUUUUGAGAUUGGGGAAAAGAGCCAUCGAAGAAAAAAAUGUCACAUUCCUCCGAGUGAUGGUGAGAACCGUGGCCUUAAUUUUUCAAAAGUAUAUUUUAAGGUUGAAAUAUAUUUGAUUAAAUUAUGCUUUUAUUAACUUGUGAUUUAAAUAUUUGGAUAAUUAAAAAUUUGUCUAACUUCAAUGUUGCAAUUUUUAAUAAUAUUAAAUAAUAUCUCUACUGGUUUAAAUUUAAAUAAAUUAAUAAGGAUGUUUGAAAUAUGGAUUAUAUAAUGUAGCGAAGUUGAUUUUAUGUUCAAUACAAGGAAUGCAACACUUGUUGCUUAAUUAUCUCAAUUUAAAAAUUAUGUCGUACGUAAUAAUCAUAAUUUGCAACUGCUGUAAUAAGGAACUGCUGAGGAAAAGAUUAAUAUUUUACCUGUUAAUUACUAUUAUGAUUUUUAAUAUUUUACCUGUUAUUUUCUAUUAUGAUUUGUGAUUGUACUUUAUGUAUUUAUUGUAUUUUAUUUUAUUUUUAUGUUGUUAUGAAAUAAAGACCAUUA